Molecule: long non-coding RNA, 227 nt
Filed under: Linum usitatissimum (flax)
Lineage: Eukaryota; Viridiplantae; Streptophyta; Magnoliopsida; Malpighiales; Linaceae
Description: long non-coding RNA (LUSI_LNC000313)
Source: RNAcentral
UUCACCUUGGUGGACGCCAAUAGGUUACUUAAACCUAGUAAGGCCUUCACGGCUCCGGCAUGCCUCAGACGACCACUACCACUUCCGGCCACCGUGGGCUGCUUCGUCUGCAUAUUGUUAUUGUUGCCCGCUUGCCUACUGGUUGACCGAGUAGCAAGCGACGAGAGGCCACCGCUCAUGAAUGGCUUCUGAUCGCCCAGCUGGUUGAACCGACGACCGACAGCCGG